This 253-nucleotide ribosomal RNA is filed under the name uncultured bacterium. Its description in RNAcentral is "partial 16S ribosomal RNA". It matches the Rfam family "Bacterial small subunit ribosomal RNA", at positions 524 to 776 of the family's 1533-position model. The record is from RNAcentral.
UACGGAGGGAGCUAGCGUUGUUCGGAAUUACUGGGCGUAAAGCGUGCGCAGGCGGUUUUGUAAGCCAGAUGUGAAAGCCCCGGGCUCAACCUGGGAAUGGCAUUUGGGACUGCAAGGCUUGAGUGCGGCAGAGGAGACUGGAAUUCCUGGUGUAGCAGUGAAAUGCGUAGAUAUCAGGAGGAAUACCGAUGGCGAAGGCAGGUCUCUGGGCUGACACUGACGCUCAUGCACGAAAGCGUGGGGAGCAAACAGG